Molecule: long non-coding RNA, 1469 nt
Filed under: Jatropha curcas
Lineage: Eukaryota; Viridiplantae; Streptophyta; Magnoliopsida; Malpighiales; Euphorbiaceae
Description: long non-coding RNA (JCUR_LNC003370)
Source: RNAcentral
AAAAUCUUGUAUUACCAACUUUUACUUCUUCAGUUAGAGUUUUUAGACUUAUUAUAGAAGAAGAGACAAAAAUGGAAUCAAGCAAUGUUAGGGAAGUUGAAGGGGGUCUAAAAGCAGAGGAAUCCAAUAGCCAUGAAGUAGAAGCAACCUCUAACACCCAAGAAAAGUGCUUGAGUUCACAAGCGAAAGAUGCGGGUAGUAUUAGCAACAGAGAAAUGUAUUUUAGAGCAGAUAAAAUUGAUUUCAAGAGCUGGGAUAUUCAGCUAGAGAAGCACUUGAACCGUGCUUGGUCAAGGGAUGGGGAAGUUCAGACAAAAAGACAAGAAUGGGAGAUUGAUUUGAGCAAAUUGGAUAUGAGGCAUGUUAUAGCUCAAGGGACUUACGGUAUCGUGUAUAGAGGCAAUUAUGACGGCCAAGAUGUUGUUUAUUAAAGGAAUCAUCAAUAUCUAAGCAAUCUAAGGUUUAAUACAUUACAGGGAUAUUUUAGUCAUUGUAAAACAUUGUAGCUUAUAAAAAUUUUAAAAAUCUCUAAAUUCCGGUAAGUCGGUUAAAAGUGACAGGUAAGGAACAGCGUAUUUAAGAGUUGAAACGUCUGCUUGGAAACAGUCGCGGCAGCUAUUUUAGGCCACAAUCUGCCAUUCACUUUUUCUCUCUCUCAGAAAAAUCUUUCCAUCAUUUUUCCUCUUUUUCUCCAUUCAUCUGAUUGGUUCCCCUUUUAUACUAUUCAUUUUUUCUCCUCCACAAAACCCUGCUUUCGUUAUUGCGCGCUCUGUCUCUCUCUCAUGCAUCUUUUUCUGUGCUUUUUUUUUUAAUAAAAAGAAUCGUGGGUUUUUAUUUGAUUGUUCUUAGUUUUUCUAAGAAUUGUAUUUUUGUCAUUCUUUUCUUCUUUUCUUUCUUGGUUAUCUUCAAGCUAUAAUUUUUCCAUUUUUCAAAAUUUUCUUUUGGGCAAAUAAAUUUUGGAUUUUGAGUCCAUAAGUCUGACUUUGGAUUGAUAAAAAUAAACACUUCAUUCUUCUUUCUUUAGCUGCUUCUUCAUUUACAUGGUUGUAUGCUUGCUUUGUUUUACAGUCUCAGGUACAAAAUUUAGGAUCACAAAAUCUUGUAUUACCAACUUUUACUUCUUCAGUUAGAGUUUUUAGACUUAUUAUAGAAGAAGAGACAAAAAUGGAAUCAAGCAAUGUUAGGGAAGUUGAAGGGGGUCUAAAAGCAGAGGAAUCCAAUAGCCAUGAAGUAGAAGCAACCUCUAACACCCAAGAAAAGUGCUUGAGUUCACAAGCGAAAGAUGCGGGUAGUAUUAGCAACAGAGAAAUGUAUUUUAGAGCAGAUAAAAUUGAUUUCAAGAGCUGGGAUAUUCAGCUAGAGAAGCACUUGAACCGUGCUUGGUCAAGGGAUGGGGAAGUUCAGACAAAAAGACAAGAAUGGGAGAUUGAUUUGAGCAAAUUGGAUAUGAGGCAUGUUAUAGCUCAAGG